RNAcentral lists this ribosomal RNA (89 nucleotides) under Streptococcus pneumoniae. The record is from RNAcentral. Lineage: Bacteria; Bacillati; Bacillota; Bacilli; Lactobacillales; Streptococcaceae.
UUAAGUGACGAUAGCCUAGGAGAUACACCUGUACCCAUGCCGAACACAGAAGUUAAGCCCUAGAACGCCGGAAGUAGUUGGGGGUUGCC